CAUAAGUGACAUGAUGCGGUUCGG
Molecule: non-coding RNA, 24 nt
Filed under: Arabidopsis thaliana (thale cress)
Lineage: Eukaryota; Viridiplantae; Streptophyta; Magnoliopsida; Brassicales; Brassicaceae
Source: RNAcentral